CCAGUAUUCGUUGUGCUGCCCCA
Molecule: microRNA, 23 nt
Filed under: Ornithorhynchus anatinus (platypus)
Lineage: Eukaryota; Metazoa; Chordata; Mammalia; Monotremata; Ornithorhynchidae
Description: Oan-Mir-15-P2d_3p* (star (passenger))
Source: RNAcentral